AGCGAACGCUGGCGGCAGGCUUAACACAUGCAAGUCGAGCGGAUGUAGCAAUACAUCAGCGGCAGACGGGUGAGUAACACGUGGGAACGUACCUUUUGGUUCGGAACAACACAGGGAAACUUGUGCUAAUACCGGAUAAGCCCUUACGGGGAAAGAUUUAUCGCCGAAAGAUCGGCCCGCGUCUGAUUAGCUAGUUGGUGAGGUAAUGGCUCACCAAGGCGACGAUCAGUAGCUGGUCUGAGAGGAUGAUCAGCCACAUUGGGACUGAGACACGGCCCAAACUCCUACGGGAGGCAGCAGUGGGGAAUAUUGGACAAUGGGCGCAAGCCUGAUCCAGCCAUGCCGCGUGAGUGAUGAAGGCCCUAGGGUUGUAAAGCUCUUUUGUGCGGGAAGAUAAUGACGGU
RNAcentral lists this ribosomal RNA (404 nucleotides) under bacterium Ellin5248. RNAcentral's name for it is "bacterial SSU rRNA". It matches the Rfam family "Bacterial small subunit ribosomal RNA", at positions 29 to 458 of the family's 1533-position model. Lineage: Bacteria; Pseudomonadati; Pseudomonadota; Alphaproteobacteria; Hyphomicrobiales; Nitrobacteraceae. The record is from RNAcentral.